Molecule: long non-coding RNA, 338 nt
Filed under: Homo sapiens (human)
Lineage: Eukaryota; Metazoa; Chordata; Mammalia; Primates; Hominidae
Description: HSALNT0379487
Source: RNAcentral
ACGUCAUCGCCCCUCGCCCCGCCCGGGGCUGGGGAAACUGAGGCUGGGUGGCUCCCCGCAAGCGCUCGGCGAGCUGGGGACUGGAGGGGCGAGAAAGUUGUUUGGGUAUCAGGUUAGUGAUUUCAGCCAGACUGCAGCUUGGAUGUCACUAAGUUCAGCCACUGGGCUGGGCACCGCCAAGCAUCGACUGCUCAUUCUUUCUGUGCCGCUGCGCCCAGUAACUGUCCCCUCUGCUCACCCACAACCCUAGCCAGAAACCUGGGAUGCCUGCACCGCUCCCUUACGCCCUACUACAACAGAGAGGAGAUCUUGCUAUGUUGCCCAGACUGAUCUCGAAC